This 527-nucleotide long non-coding RNA is filed under the name Vulpes vulpes (red fox). Its description in RNAcentral is "lncRNA (ENSVVUG00000030329.1)". Lineage: Eukaryota; Metazoa; Chordata; Mammalia; Carnivora; Canidae. The record is from RNAcentral.
AAAGCAACAAAGGGAGCUCAAGUGGAGACUUCCUCAGCAAAAGCAUUGCACUGCUUAAAUGAUUCAGCUUUUGAGUGAAAUGAAAGGCGGGACUAAGACCAGGAAGAACCACGACCUACCCUACUCCGGAGUACGGACCCCAGGAGGACUAACAGCCUCUGGGCUCUCGAACAGCACAGAGUGUAAGGGGUUCGGGAGGAGGGUCUCGUCAUCCCAGUCGGUCCUGUGACAUAGUGUUCUUGAUCCCUGUGUACUGUCGAAGACACAGAAAGCAGAGGUCCCACAGCUAGAAGGUGGGGAAGGUCACCUCUGGGCAAUGCCAGAUGGUCUCUGCUUUCCUCCAGACCCUACAGUGUACUUCCAGUCCACAACAGUUUACAACUCACAGUCUCAGGAAUUUGUCAUUUUCUUUCGAACAUGGCUGGCCAAAACAAGAUUGGCUUAUGCUCCUAUGCAAUGUACUUCAAGUGUUGCACUUUCCUCCAACAAAGACCUCUAUACCUGCUUUAUUGCUGAAAAUAAAAUCC